AUCCAAAUGACCUUAUUAGUGUUCUUGUCCAUUUCUGUCAUUGGAAAUGUUUUCCUCAUCUUCUACCAAAGAUUAUGGAAACCAUAUAAAGGAACAGAAAGUGCUAUAUCAGGAGCACAAAAUGACAAAUUGCACCAAGCUCAGGGUGAAGCUGAUGAAGAGCUAAACUACGCCUCAAUUAAUUUCUCUGAAAGAAAAACAAAAGGAAGACGGAAGAGAGAGUUUGCUGAGGACAGCGUCUACUCUCAAGUUAAAUGUUGAACUUCAUGACAAUGUUGAGCAUUUCCUGAAUUUUAAAAGGAACCUCAUAUUCUGUUAUUGACCUUAUAUUUGAGACUUGGCAAUUUGUUUGUUCCACCAUUUGGGCUCUCAAAGCCUGUAACUUCGAUUUAUUGCAUAUCUGAGGGCAAAAUUUGA
Molecule: long non-coding RNA, 417 nt
Organism: Haplochromis burtoni (Burton's mouthbrooder)
Lineage: Eukaryota; Metazoa; Chordata; Actinopteri; Cichliformes; Cichlidae
Exons: 3
Source: RefSeq, a predicted model, not a curated record